AGGACUUGCUUGAUUCUAGGGUUUCUCACUUUCUGCAAGUUAGAUCAUAAAUGGUCAGAACUUUUAAUCCGAUUUGUAUGUGAUGGAUAAUUAAAGGGAAAUUGAUGGAUUGAUUUGACAUUUAUAGAGCCGAGUCUGGAGGUGAUGUUGAGAAUGCGGCUGACGGAAGGAGAACGACGAAAGAAAGGUAAGAGAGCUUGGGUGAGGAGCUUGGCGCCAUAGAAGUUGAUCUUCAUCACUGUCUCUGCGUGAUCUACUGUGUUUUCCUCUAUGUCG
RNAcentral lists this long non-coding RNA (276 nucleotides) under Carica papaya (papaya). RNAcentral describes it as "long non-coding RNA (CPAP_LNC012094)". The record is from RNAcentral. Lineage: Eukaryota; Viridiplantae; Streptophyta; Magnoliopsida; Brassicales; Caricaceae.